AAAAGCUGUUCCUCUGAGAAACCAAAGCGCUUGAACACACAGACUGAGGUGCGCUCCGUCUGACAACUUCAAGCAACCGUUACCUCACAGCUCGGGUCAAUGCACGUACGUUCGUCCGUUCGGCUUACGGUGCUUGCAGCUCAGGGACGAAAACAAGAGUCAGCGAAAGUGAACCUGUAUAUACGAACGUACACUUCCCGAGGCGGCGCACCUUUCGGCACCUCACCUGAGAAACUGAAUCAUGGUCAUUGUUCUUUUUUUUAUUUCUUACGUGUGAAGGAGGACGUAAAAAUGGAGAACAAGUACAUUUGAGUACAUCUCCCUCCCCACCGAAAAUGGCACGAUAGAGAGAGAGAACAAAAGAAAGUUACAAUACGAAUUAUCGCACCUGACCACUAUAGUUCAGUAAAGGUGCAGCCGCUGGUCAUUGUGAACUUAUUACUGUACGCAGGUCAAGCUAAAGAAACUACAAGAGAGAGAGAGAGAGAGAGAGAGAGAGAGAGAGAGAGAGAGAGAGAGAGAGAGAGAGAGAGAGAGAGAGAUCUAUCAGUUAAAAAUGUCAAAUAAUAUAUCCCUGAAUUUCCUGCACUCCUCAUCCCCCUCUCCCUCACACCCUCAUCACCAUCAUCCCACCCACCACUAGUACACCCCGGCAGGUAGGUGUAGGUGUUAAGCCAAACACCUACACGCAUCUUAAACCUCCGUCGUGAAGCUCUCGAUAUGAAGCACCGUUUGAAGCAUGACGAUCCUCUCGAACUGCUCAUUGGGGUGUGAAUCAAUUAGGUCAGAGUCUUGCCACUUGAAUCCCAGUUGUAGUUUCUUAAAAUUUCUAAUGAUCAAGGGAAUGUUAUUAGCGUCUUGCUUCUCGUCUUGCAGUCAACAGGAAGGUGUAAAAGAUGGAUUUUAUGGAUAGGGAUGAGAGGUGGAUAUAGGUGUGGGUGUUAUAUACAUGGACUGCCACGUGUAGAUCGUGUUCUUGUGUUCUUUUGUUUAAUAAAUUGAGUGUCUUAUAUUAGGUUAGGUUAGGUUAAAUGAGGUGUUGUCUUGUCUUAGGUUAGGUUACGUUACGUUGGGUUUGAAAUGAAAGUCCGAUAUAGUUUGUAAUCUCGAGACGUAACUGAAUAGGAGUGAAUGUGUAGCUCAAAUAUUCAAUGGCUGUAGUAAUGUAUCUACUGAGGGAAGCCGUCUGGUGUUACUCCUGUGAAGUAACUUUAAUGAGUGGUUCAAGUUUUGUUCUGUUAAUAAAGGAGUUUACUUGUGCCCAAGUGCUCAUUAGCUACCGCAGCAAGACGUCACAGUAACGUGUGAGUGGCGGUCAGCGGGUUAAAAGAGAGACUGGUCAUGAGAGGCAGCGGCCUGAUACAAGCAGCACCAGCAGGCAGGCGGCUCAAGGCUGCCUGGCUGCUGCGGCGGGAUCCGAGUGAAAGGAAAAUUGAGAUUACAGGUCAGGAUGAGAUUAUGAGUAUUGACUUACACGAGAAGGUGGAGAUACAAAAAAAAAAAAAAAAAAAAAAAAAAGAUAAUUGAGAAAUUAAUAAAAUUGACAAUAAGUAUUGCAGAUGAUUAUGAAAUUGACUACUGACUUACCCCACAUGGUACGUUAAAGGAAAAAAUAAACAAAUAAAACUAGUAACUUAUCUCAUGUAAUAAAUUAAAGGCAAAAUAAGUAGAUAGAAAUCAGUAACUUACCUCAUAUGACAAGAUGAAGGCAAAUAAAAAAUUAUAGGUAUUGGCUUAGCCUCAUACGAACAAGUAAAGGUAAAAUUAAAAGAGGAAACUUAAUAAAGUAACUACGUAUUGAAAAGGAAGAUAAAACUGAGUACUAGUUUACCUCAUAUGAUAAAGUGAAGACAAAAUUAAAUAGAACUAAUAACAUUACGAAGAGAAAAAAAAAAAAGAAAAAAAGGUUUAAGAUGUGCCGUGAGGGCAAAGGUUUAUGACUUACAUUUUCUCUUGAUUAGGCAAAUUUAUGGAUGGGGAUGAAAAGUGGAAACAGGUAUGCAUGUUUUAUACAGGGACCGUCACGUGUAGGCCUGAUGUCUCCUUGCAGCUUCCUUUGCUUUGUUAUGUUCUUAUAUUUUCAAGACUAAGUUAAAAUGAUGAGUAUUGUCUUCAUCUCACACUGCCAGGCAAGACACGGUUAAAUGCUACUGGAUGAGAAGGAAGACUAGUUCCUCAGGUGACACAUCUUGAUACUUUCACUGAUACAACCUUCAUUUGUCAAUUUUCAGAGCACUGUAGAAAAUUCAGUGUCAGUGCUUACUAGUAUCUACUGUAUUUCUUACAUAAUUUCUACACGACAUGAAAUCAGUCCAUUCUUUUGCAUCGACACAGGAAAGAGAGAAUAGAAAGUUGAUUUAAUCUUUUCUAUGGCAGAUAUCUAUUAAAAAGAAGACCACAGUACAAGAAAUACGUGUCUCGAAAGCUGUAAAGGGUUAUGGAGUCUUCUUUUGUCAACAUUCGAAGCACCGUAGAAAAUUGUUUGCAUCGACACAGAAAAAAGAGAACAGAGUUGAUUUCGUCUUUUCUAUGCUGGAUAACUAUUAAAGAAAAGACUGUAGUACAAAAGAUAAGAGUCUAAAAAAAAAUGUAUGUGCUUAUUGGGUCUUCUUUGUCAACAUUCGAAACACUGCAGAAAACUGUUUGCGUCGACGAAAACAAAAAGAGAACAGAGAAUUGAUUUCAUCAUUUCUUUGCUGAAUAACUAUGAAAGAGAAAACUAUUUUACAAAGAAUAAGAGUCUAAUAUUCUAUUUUAUUUUCUCUAAUAUUUUAUUAUAUUAUCUGCUAGGUAACUAUGAAAGAGAGGACUGUAAUGCAAAAGAUAAGCGUCUGAACAGUAGUAGGGUGUUGUGGGGAGUGUGGCAGUGAAAGGACUAAGUAAAGAAGUCUCCUGUUAUAAGAGAAGACAGAAGAAAAAUAUGAAGUCUUCCCAGUGGAUUUUUUUUCUCUUCUUUUCUUCUUCUUUUCUUACAGGAAUUGCAUAAACCGCAAAGUGCUGCCAAGGACUUCAGGUAGUUUUCACGUGUAAAAAUAAAUACUCGUUGACAGAGAUGAAGUAAGAGUUUUAGACGAAAAAAAAAAAAAAGGAGAGCGAAAGAGAAAACAGAAAUCUCACCCUACGUAGUAUCAUCUAUAAUGAAGCAAGCAAGUAGCAGUGAUAGUCAGGGCGGUGAUUGCAAAUACCGGAGAAAUUUAGAAUCAAGGUCACAGACACGAGAAGUGGUUGGGUUACUGCAUGUCUGGAUUUAGCGGUAAUUGUGAGUGUGUGUGUGUGUGUGUGUGUGUGUGUGUGUGUGUGUGUGUGUGUGUGUGUAGGUCUCGCGACAGUGCACAUGACGGGAAGGGAAAAGAAAAUGUGUAUCAUGUGUAUUAUUUGCCAGAGAGAGAGAGAGAGAGAGAGAGAGAGAGAGAGAGAGAGAGAGAGAGAGAGAGAGAGAGAGAACGGAAAUGCAAUGGGUGCCUUAAAGAAACAACAGAAGCAACCUGACAACUGAGGCAAAACGCGCUUAGAAUAUUAGCAUACGAGAAGAAACGGAGCGAGAAGGAAACCUGGGGGAGAGUGGGAAUGAAAGUGAGCAGAGUGAAGUGGAGGAAAGAGGUUAAGUGUGAAGUGGAAGCAAACACCAAAUGAGUGAGGGAAGAACUUAUGUAAGAUCUGGUGAAUAAGCUGAAGUGUUGGCUGUUGAAAGCAAGAAGUGGUAGAAAGUUAGUCAUUGCGAGUGUAUGUGUAUGUGUGUGUGUGUGUGUGUGUGUGUGUGUGUGUGUGUGUGUGUGUAUCCAGCAGGUCAGGGUGAGGAACCCCUUUCACUCUGCAAGCUAAAUGCCCUGCUGAUGGUGCUGGUGGUGCUGCUGCUGUUCCCUGCUCACUUGCUCGCCUGCCAACACACACCAAGCACUUAAUGAUAAUAUGACAUCACCACCACCACCUCCUUCCCUUCCCUUCCUCCCUUCCCUCCAUUCCUUCCCCUUCCUCAUACUUUCUCCGGGCAAAAACUCCACAAAAACUCCUUAUUCCUCCACCAAUAAGUGUGACAUAUCCACCUCCCUCCCCAGUUCACGUGUCCAGUGUUGGAGUGGUGGGGUGGUGGAGUGGAGUGGUGGAGCGGGUUAUGACUGAAGAAUGCGCCCUACUUCUUUAUACACAACUACGUUUCUAUUAUUUCCUGCCCCUGCAUCUGCCCCCCAUCCUCCCCGCCUCCCUGUUUUUUCUUGUACCUCCAUUUAUGUAUCUUUUCUCUCAAACUACUAAAACUGUUGAACUAAAUCGACGUGAACAGCGACACCUCCUUCCUUACGUCCUCUCCUCCGUUUUCUUUCUCGUUUCCCUUUUCACCCACUGGUCUUCGAGAAAGAUGUUUUUUUGAUUGAUGAAAACUGAGUUAUGGGAUGUUGUUAAAAUUGGUUGCGAUUAUGUAAUGACAGUAAAUCUUCAUUCCUUUUCCCCAUUUUCUUUAAGUGUAAAAUUUCCUUUGAUGUUCAACAUACCUAAUUUUUCCGCCUGACUACACUGAUGAGAAGUGAGUGGUGGGAGACUAGAAUAGGUUACUGCUUUAUCAGACAUUCUAUCACCAACUGUCAUAGCCAUCAACACCUAAACUUCUUUCCAGUUUUCCCCCGUGAAUUUACAUUGAUGAGAUGUGAGUGGUGGGAAACAAAAAUAGGUUACCCCUGUAUCAUUUCAUCAACAACUGUCAUAACCAUCAACACCUAUUUUUUCCGCGUCUUCUCCGGACCAACCCCUUAAUUCACAAGUCCACAAGAAUUACUCAUCUCUCAAAAUUGUCUGUCACUCCUCUUGCUGAUCCCCCCGGGCGCCUCUUACUCCUAGUUAUGGCUCGGGGUCACAGGGAAGGUAUGUACUAUUGACGCCACAUGGGGACCUCUUAGAAAACCUCAACCGUGAUCAGCGGUUCAUCAUUCACUUACAAGAUAUGCGUUGGGUUAUAGUUAUUAAGCUCUCAUUAGGAUUAAUUUCAAAGGCCACAGAGAUGAUACGUCGAGUUCUCAUGUAUUUUCCUCUUUGAUGAAUAAUAAUCCUCGUUGAAUCAUCAGCAGAAUCAUGAAAACACCUUUGUAAACUCGAAUGACUGAGGAGACUAAUAAAAGUAGUGAAGAUUAAAGCCGGGAGGUGUAGGAAUAUCCUGCUAAGUGUCGAGUUUUCUCCUUGAUAGUAGAUAAUCCUUGUUAAAACAUUAGCAGAAUUAUGAAAACGCCUUUGUAAACUCUAGUGACUUUAGAGCCUGAUACAAGUAAGGUAAAACGCUGAAAUGUGUAGGAGUAUCAGCGAUGUGUGACGGUCAUGUUACGUGUUCGAGAGGUCCAUUAUGUAACUACAGCAGCGGAGGUAAAGAGCCGUGCGAAAAAUGCAGGCAGCGCGGUGAACAGGUUGUGGAGAAAGUGCCACUGUAAAAAGUAAAAGUGAUAAACUCAUGCACCCUUUGUACCAGCGGAGACUGAACUCUUUAAUGACACGUACUUCCCUAAUCACAAACCAUUCUGAAACAUUUCCUAUUAUUCCUUGGCCACCUCUAAGCAUCACACUGGCUAGAGACUGGAUGAUAUAUUCUUUAAUUGGCCCCCUUUCUCUCUCUCUCUCUCUCUCUCUCUCUCUCUCUCUCUCUCUCUCUCUCUCUCUCUCUCUCUCUCUCUCUCUCUCUCUCUCUCUCUCUCUCUCUCUCUCUCUCUCUCUUGUUAGUGUUUGUCAAGAUUUCUGCUAUCCUUAAUGCUGUGAAUUGCUUGUUGCAGUGAAAGGGUUAACGAAUGAAAAGUGGUGGAGGUUAUGAUGCAGCUUGUAACUGGAUUAACAUGAACUAGAAAUGAGACGAAGAGACUCUGGCAUUUAAGCUGAGAGGCUUUGGGUAUAGGCUGAGAGACUGGACUACUACUGUAUGUACUGCUGAACUGUAGGCUGAUGAACUGGGAUAUAAACUGAGACUUUGUGACAUACAGACAGAGAGACUGUCAUGCAAGCUAAUACAGGGUGGGAUGUAGACUGAGAGAUUGACAUGUAAACUAAUACAGGGUUGGAUGUAGGCUGAGAGACUGUCAUGCAAGCCAAUACAGGAUGAGAUGUAGGCUGAGAGAUUGUGGGAUAAAAACCGAGAGACAGGAAUAAACUGAUGGAGUGUGUGAAAAUAUAGACUACUAAACCUUACGGUAAGACAUGCAGGUCAAGAAAUUCAAAAUAUCAUAUCUUCCUACAGUAUCUCAAGGCUACGUGGGAUGCCCUUACGAAUCCCUAAUGCGGAGAGACAUACAAGGCGGUAAAUUCAACAGACACGUGGCUAAAUCUAUCCUCUCCCUUGGUCCCUCGUCACCGGCGCCUCUCAGCUCAACACAGAAACUCGUUGACGGAGAAACCAGCACCGGGAACAAGAAAACGCUACAUAGAUCCUGGCCAGCGAUGGAAAGGGGGAGGCUGGACACACGCACGCAUCCCUAUUCUUCGCCAAGGUCACUCCGUCCCUAGGCAGGCCUCGCAACUGCAUAAAAACUCGCUUGUCAUGAAGUGACCGAAAUGUGUAAUUCCCCACGGUCCCCAGCAUCACGUGGUGGACACCUCCCCGCCACAAUCCUCAGGCACUGAACUUCGGCUCGUGCAGUUCGAUGUAUGAAAAAGACUAGGAUCUUUGACACACACACACACACACACACACACACACACCACCGCGGGGAGCUUAGCGAGCAUGUGUGUGUGUGUGUGUGUGUGUGUGUGUGUGUGUGUGUGUGUGUGUGUUUGUGUGUGUUGUACAUUUGAGCGUACACAUUUUUAUAUCAUCAUUUAUUCUCUGGAUGAAAAGACAAACAGGAAAAAAAGUCGCUUGAAAAUGAGAGAACAUUUUUACUCAAAGAAUUAAAGAAAAAUAAAUAAGAAGAAACCUGAAAAGGAAUAACGACACGGCACUCAUCUUCUAAAGCCUCACGUAACUCUCAAGGUUCUCGAUAUAUUAAUCCUUUUAAUGCUAGAUGAUACUUCACAUAAUUAUCUACAACACUUAAGACUUAUUUUUGUACUGCAGUCCCUUACGUAGUUUUAUAUUCUAAAGGAACAAAAUUAACCUCUAAUUCUCUCUUUUUCUCAGUUCAUUCAGAUAUUUUCUAUAGUGCUUUGAAUGUUAAGAAAGGGCGAUCAAAGCAAUAAAGAAGUUGAGGCAGGAAGACCCAUACGUGGAGGAAAAUAAGAGUAAAUACUCGUAAGUAGACGGAACAGGAGGAUAAAGGUCUGUCUUGGAACUAAUUAGAGAUGAAGCGAGAGAAUAAAAAGAAAAGGUAGCGGAGAAGUACAAGGAUUACAUAUUGAGGGUAUGGAGGAAUGAUUCUUACCCUGGGGUUAAUUUAUUUUCUGGAGGUAAAAAGAAAAGGAGGAGGAGGAGGAGAAGGAGGAGGAAGAGGAAAAGAGAAAAGACAGCACGCAGUAAAGAAGUACCUUACCUGAAUAAUAAACAGGUAGUCACUGUGAAGCUGAGCACCCGGUAUAGAUUUUUCAUUUACACACUAUAUACUGUGAAUAAGAUUGUGUGUAACGGUAAUCCUUAAACGUACGAACAAUGUCCCAUCCUUCCCUUCGAAAGAUAAAACAAAUCAAUAAAUAAUUAGGUAGGCAGGCAGGUAAGGUAAAUGAAUGAAAAAGAAAUAAAGAAGGAAAGAAAGAAGAAAGUAAAUAGAUAAAUUGGUAGAUAAAUAAAUGAACAAAUUAAUAAAUAAAUCAAUAUAUGCUAGUUUUACUAGCAGGAUAUGCAAGAAAGCUAGAGAGAGAAAAGUCAUAAGCAUCUUUGGAGGUAUGCGAGAAGGCAAGUCGCUGCUUCGUGAUGGUUAUGAAUGUUGUGUAUGUCAGUAAGGGAGUAAAUAGUGAAAUGCUUCGGCCCGAGCUGGUAACUGAUGGAGGAAAUCCUGAGAGUCCCUGGUGUAGACGAAGGACGGAGAGAAAUCAAGGACACCGUGGUUGAAAUUAAGUAAACAUUCCAUACCUCACGACAGUGAUUAUGGCAUCAGACAGACACACACCAUACAAGCAUCACCAGAGAGAGAGAGAGAGAGAGAGAGAGAGAGAGAGAGAGAGAGAGAGAGAGAGAGAGAGAGAGAGAGAGAGAGAGAGAGAGAAACAGUACCCCUAACAACAAAAAACAACAAAAAACGCCACAUUUUUUUCUCUCCCACAAGCAAUGGCAAUACACAUUUAUAAUCCUUCCAGUAACGAUGUAAUUCCAGCAAACGAUAAAGCAAAGCAUGAUAAAAUCUAUACCAUCCCAAUUCUCCACAUCUAUACCAUCCCAAUCCUCCACAUCCCUGUUCUCUCACCCAUUGUUUACUGUGAGUUCUUUACUAUUUAGUGGUACAAUAUGUAAAUAGUUCUUAGUUAUGAAUAAACAAUUCUGCUAUUUUCCCCAUAUAAUCUAAAGAAUAAAAAAAAAAAAAAACUGGCCAUUUAUAAUUUUCCUCUGGCUGUGUAUCUUUUUCUUUUUUUUUCAUAUUAUGCGCUUAUAUAAGUGUGUGCGUGUGUGUGUGUGUGUGUGUGUGUGUGUGUGUGUGUGUGUGUGUGUGUGUGACAAAUUCUCACGAGAAGAAAGAAUGAGUGUUAAGAGUACGGUAGAAGGAAGAGGAGGCGAAGGAGGAAGAAGAAAGGAAAAGAAGUGGAUUUUGUUUUGUCCUUGAAUCCUCCUCCCUCGCGCUCCCACGGCUUCGUCAUCGCGACUAGAGGGACUUCCAACUCUGCUUACUCUUCCCUGUUUUACUUCGUUCCCUGCUAUACUACAAUCUCGCCUCUUUAUUAUUUCGCACCAACAAACUCCUUUUUUUUUUCCUUGUUUUCUUCAUCCCUUUCCAUAGAUCCUGCCUUCCUGUUCUUUCGUAUUGCCCAUCUUUCCUAGCUCUUUCUUACCUGUCUUUCUUUUAAAACUUCUUUUCUUUCCAACUUUGUUCUUUCUUCCAUUCAAUUUCUCUUGUUUCUUUGAUCUCUGUAUUUUUUUUUUCUUAUCCAUGCUCCGUUUUACCCAUCUUUCUUCUUCGCAUUCUUUGUCUUCCUCCAAUCUAUUUCAUUUUUCUUUCCCUUCCGUCUUUCGUCUUACCCAACUCUCUCUCUCUCUCUCUCUCUCUCUCUCCCUCUCUCUCUCUCUCUCUCUCUCUCUCUCUCUCUCUCUCUCUCUC
This is a long non-coding RNA of Scylla paramamosain (green mud crab), 9146 nucleotides long. RefSeq lists it as uncharacterized. The transcript is spliced from 2 exons. The record is from RefSeq and is a predicted model, not a curated record. NCBI's taxonomy places the organism in Eukaryota, Metazoa, Arthropoda, Malacostraca, Decapoda, Portunidae.